Non-coding RNA from Oryctolagus cuniculus (rabbit), 538 nucleotides. NCBI's taxonomy places the organism in Eukaryota, Metazoa, Chordata, Mammalia, Lagomorpha, Leporidae. The record is from RefSeq and is a predicted model, not a curated record.
GGGCGGGGCGGGGCCCUUGUCGUGGCCGCUCUGGCCCCGCCCAAGUCCUCGAAGGCGGCGGGUUCGCGCCCUGUGGGCGGGGAGCUAGCGAGUGACGGAGUUCUUAUUACAGCAGUCACCCGAGGUGCCUUGGCCUGAGGGUGAAGAAACCUUUUGGAAGAAAUGUCCCCCAGUGGGUCUUCACUGUGUCAGAGGGCCUCUGGUGGCUGUCACUGGAGCAACAGUGACAUGAGGGAAAGCUCUCUGCUGUGGCCUGGGAAAGCAGUGGAAAAUGGCCCAAGUGCUUGGACCCCUGAACCCACAUGGGAGACCUGGAAGAAGCUCCUGGCUCCUGGCUAUGGAACGGUGCAGCUCCAGCCAUUGCGGCCAAUUGGGGAGUGAACCAUCGGAUGGAAGACCUCUCUCUCUCUCUCUCUCUCUGCCUCUCCUCUCUCUGUGUAACUCUGACUUUUGUGUAACUCUGACUUUUAAAUAAAUAAAUCUUUAAAAAAAUAAAAAAAAAGCUUUGGAAAAUAUUUUAAAAAAGAGUCACAAUGUU